This 86-nucleotide transfer RNA is filed under the name Candidatus Aenigmatarchaeota archaeon. RNAcentral describes it as "tRNA-Ser". It matches the Rfam family "tRNA". From Rfam's summary of the family: Transfer RNA (tRNA) molecules are approximately 80 nucleotides in length. Their secondary structure includes four short double-helical elements and three loops (D, anti-codon, and T loops). The record is from RNAcentral. Lineage: Archaea; Nanobdellati; Candidatus Aenigmatarchaeota.
GCUGAGAUGGCGGAGCUUGGUCUAACGCGCUAGACUGGAAAUCUAGUACGCUUCGGCGUGCGGGGGUUCAAAUCCCUCUCUCAGCG